This 1078-nucleotide ribosomal RNA is filed under the name uncultured stramenopile. Its description in RNAcentral is "bacterial SSU rRNA". It matches the Rfam family "Eukaryotic small subunit ribosomal RNA", at positions 577 to 1674 of the family's 1831-position model. The record is from RNAcentral.
CGGUAAUUCCAGCUCCAAUAGCGUAUACUAACGUUGUUGCAGUUAAAAAGCUCGUAGUUGGAUUUCUGAUCUUUGCCAAUGGUUGUGUCGCCGCGUGCGAGGCGCCUUGCGCAGAGGUCAACAUAUGUCACGAGCCAGUGUGAUCUAUUCAUUUAGGUCCACUGGGUAAUGACUCGUUUACUUUGAGAAAAUUAGAGUGUUCAAAGCAGGCAUUUGCCUUGAAUAUGUUAGCAUGGAAUAAUAGCAUAGGACUUCGGUUCUAUUUGUUGGUUGUUCGAGAACUGGAGUAAUGAUUGAUAGGGACGGUUGGGGGCAUCCGUAUUCUCAAGCGAGAGGUGAAAUUCUUGGACCUUGGGAAGACGAACAGCUGCGAAAGCGUUUGCCUAGGACGUUCUCUUUAAUCAAGAACGAAAGUUGGGGGAUCGAAGACGAUCAGAUACCGUCGUAGUCUCAACUAUAAACUAUGCCAGCUAGGGAUCGGUGGGUCUUUGUCACGAGUUCAUCGGCACCUUACGAGAAAUCAAAGCAUUUGGGUUCCGGGGGGAGUAUGGUCGCAAGGCUGAAACUUAAAGGAAUUGACGGAAGGGCACCACCAGGAGUGGAGCCUGUGGCUUAAUUUGACUCAACACGGGAAAACUUACCAGGUCCGGACAUAGUAAGGAUUGACAGAUUGAAAGCUCUUUCUUGAUUCUAUGGGUGGUGGUGCAUGGCCGUUCUUAGUUGGUGGAGUGAUUUGUCUGGUUAAUUCCGUUAACGAACGAGACCCGCGCCUGCUAAAUAGUCGGCCUCACUUCUGUGGGUGUUGUACUUCUUAGAGGGACCAUCCUGGGUAUACCGGAAGGAAGUUGCGGGCAAUAACAGGUCUGUGAUGCCCUUAGAUGUUCUGGGCUGCACACGGGCUACACUGCAAGAUACAACAAGCGUCGAUCACGCCUGACUGGAAGGUCCGGCCAAUCUUUGAAUAUCUUGCGUGAUUGGGAUAGACCAUUGCAAUUAUUGGUCUUCAACGAGGAAUUCCUAGUAAACGCGUGUCAACAACACGCAUUGAUUACGUCCCUGCCCCUUGUACACACCGCCC